AGCACGAUUCUUUGUCUUAUGGUCUUCAAAGAAUGAAUCCCUAAAAAUCAUAAGCUUUUCCGAUUUCUCAAUCAAUGUCAAAAGUUUCGAUCAUCAAUCGAGUCUCCGUAUAUCUAAUUUCCAUAUCAUAUUCGGGAUUUCUUCAAAGAGAGAUCUUGGGCUAUCACUGUGGUUAUACGAACUUGCAUGAAUAAUGAUUGGAUGAUGAUUUUGUAUGAGGAAGACGAUUUACAAAAGAAGGCAAAAUAUUCGAGUUGAUUUCAAUCUGAGAAGACAAAUUUGAUGUCCUUUAGUAGCCAUAACGGAAUCUGGAAGCUAUUUUAAAGGAUCUCAUCAGAGUCUUCUUCGAUUGUUGGAUCAUAACUGUUGUGAGAUGUUUUUUUCUCCUUUGCGAAAGACUUAGGGAACCUCAGAUUGUUUCUUGAAUUGAUGGAGGACUCCACUUUUUCCCCUUUUUUUCUGGUGGCUUAUGUGGAUUAAGUGGAGUUUGGUUAACCUCGCUGUGAAGCUGUGAUGUAUUGAUACUGUUCUGCACAUCUUGAAAAGGUCUUCUCUGUGUCCUUGCUGUUUUUUUUGCUGAUCUUACACUCGUAUUAUAAGUAACUGUAGACUCAAAUCAUAAACCAGUAUGGUUGUAUAUUAGUUAGCAUAAAAUGUAGAUGCUAUAUUGUUGGAAUAUAAAUGUUUACAUACCUACUGUUUCCUUUUGUAUGGUUGCAGAAGAAGAAGGACCAGUUACUGUCUCUAAGGCAUCAGAAUCACACAUCUGGGCUGUUUUAGCUACUAAAAUGGGGCUUAUAUAUGAAGAUUCAUCAGUACAAAUCACAGGGCUUAAUGUCAGCAAGAGGGGUGAAUGCUUGAACAGCUGCCAUUUUCUUCGAGAAAUAGUGAAGUGGUAAUGGUAAAGCUUUGAAAGAUUCGGAAAUUUGAAGUAAAAGAGAUUAACGAUGGGCCUGUAGGAAAUAUCUAAGCCCAAUAGGAAAUAUAGAAUCUCAUCGGGUCAGAUUCACAGACGCAAAAGAUCCGAGUGUAGGAUCCGAGAUCCGCGUCUCGCCUGCGGGAAUUUUACAAUUUUACCCCUCCACGCAAAUUUUUAUUUUGUCUUUGAAAUUUUAAUUGUAAUGGCAUUCUCUUGUAAUUAUUUACACUUUGUAAGGUUAUUUUUCAUGUAAUCCUUCCCAA
Long non-coding RNA from Arabidopsis lyrata subsp. lyrata, 1182 nucleotides. RefSeq lists it as uncharacterized. The transcript is spliced from 9 exons. The record is from RefSeq and is a predicted model, not a curated record. Lineage: Eukaryota; Viridiplantae; Streptophyta; Magnoliopsida; Brassicales; Brassicaceae.